Paramuricea clavata is the source of this 659-nucleotide non-coding RNA. Lineage: Eukaryota; Metazoa; Cnidaria; Anthozoa; Malacalcyonacea; Plexauridae. The record is from the annotation of a GenBank genome assembly.
UAUGAUUGUUCGUACAAUGGAAUUUGCAAUAAUUAAUGACCUGUCAUAUUUUUCACAUACUAGAUGUCUAGAUAUCAAUUCAACGUGUAAUGCGAUAAUAUACAUUUAAACCUUUUUUCUCGUGGCUUUCCAAGCUAACAAGGUUAAAACGUUACCUAUAUAGACGAUCAGCUAGCCGGAGCGAUCGCCCUUUUCACUCAACCGAAUCUAAUAUACAUAAUAAUAUAUAGAGGUCAGUGUAUCAACCACUAGCCUGACUAGAAAAUAUAUUAUACGAUGGUAUAGUCCAAAGCAAUCCAGUUGCUUUCAAAUGUAUGAUCGUAUCUCACAGAAAAUUGUUGAUUGUAUGUUUUUCAAAAAACUGGCUUGAUAGACCGGCCAGGAUCUACCAGAAAGGUCAGCCAAACUACUUUUAGUUGAAAAGAAGCAAAAAAAUUGUCUCAAUUUAUCAGCUGAAUAAAUGGAUGAAUAUUCAUUGGAUAGAAACACAACAAAUCAUUUGAAGAUCGCAGAUCACGCUGACUUCAAAAUACAACAAGAGUUUGGUGUUCCCAGCAAAGCAGUGCUUGCAAAAUUAUUUUAAGCCAGCGUCUGUGGUUGAAAAAGUAUGUUGCUCAAAAAUGAUUUUACAAAUGUGGGAUAAGUUUAGACAAAAUUUA